CCUUUUCUCUUCCCAUCUUGAAUAAAGCCUUACCUUUUUCCUUGAAUACUCCUUAGUUUAUAGCAAUGGACAUACAUUAAUCAUAGCAGUUUAGGGUUUAGUUCAACAAAGAAAUCACUAGGUGCCUUUAAUUUCUCAAUAAACUAUUCAGUUUAUAAUUGACCUAGAAUUAUGUCUUUUAGGCUCAAAAGGGGUUGUAAAAUUCUCACUCCCUCACAAGGAAAAUGAAGGCUUCAUUUGGUC
Molecule: long non-coding RNA, 243 nt
Filed under: Lathyrus oleraceus (garden pea)
Lineage: Eukaryota; Viridiplantae; Streptophyta; Magnoliopsida; Fabales; Fabaceae
Description: Pisum sativum (pea) long non-coding RNA (PSAT_LNC032027)
Source: RNAcentral